Long non-coding RNA from Cavia porcellus (domestic guinea pig), 428 nucleotides. RefSeq lists it as uncharacterized. The transcript is spliced from 3 exons. NCBI's taxonomy places the organism in Eukaryota, Metazoa, Chordata, Mammalia, Rodentia, Caviidae. The record is from RefSeq and is a predicted model, not a curated record.
UUAGAAAAAUAGAAAGAAUAGGAAAAAUAAUGGCAGAAUCACUGGCUGUAGGGUUAACCAAGUGUUUCUUACCUCUUUGAUGUUUUUUUUUCCCAGUUAAUGGAGUAGACUGAAUAAUCCGGAUAUGAGAAAUUAAUAGGCUGAAGUGCACCAGUCCAUACGCAAAGGCAAGAGUAAGAUCUGUUACCCAGUAUGGAGCAGCUGGUCAUGUUAUGUGGGUCCAUUUCCCUUCCAUGGAUGUGCUUCGUUUCUCCAUCAUCUCUGAGUCUUGAUCCCCAUUACUUUAUGGAUACUCCUGAAGAGGUGGAGCACAUAGAACUAAAAUCAACUGAAAAGCACAUUGCCUGCAAAUGGAUAGCUUGGGACUUUGCUGAGAUAGAUGUCUGUCUUUCACAAAGUGGAAGCAGCCUGGACUCUUGGCAGAAACC